CGGUGUUUAACUGGCGUGAUGUGGGACGUCCUACCGGUGGGCUUAGCCUCGCGAGGGGCGGCCCAACUAAUAUCCCGUCGCGGUGCUCUUUACUGAGUGUCGAGUCGGGCCGGUACGUUUACUUUGAACAAAUUAGAGUGCUUAAAGCAGGCUAUCCUCGCCUGAAUACUGCGUGCAUGGAAUAAUGGAAUAGGACCUCGGUUCUAUUUUGUUGGUUUUCGGAACCCCGAGGUAAUGAUUAAUAGGGACAGAUGGGGGCAUUCGUAUUGCGACGUUAGAGGUGAAAUUCUUGGAUCGUCGCAAGACGGACAGAAGCGAAAGCAUUUGCCAAAAAUGUUUUCAUUAAUCAAGAACGAAAGUUAGAGGUUCGAAGGCGAUCAGAUACCGCCCUAGUUCUAACCAUAAACGAUGCCAGCUAGCGAUCCGCCGAAGUUCCUCCGAUGACUCGGCGGGCAGCUUCCGGGAAACCAAAGCUUUUGGGUUCCGGGGGAAGUAUGGUUGCAAAGCUGAAACUUAAAGGAAUUGACGGAAGGGCACCACCAGGAGUGGAGCCUGCGGCUUAAUUUGACUCAACACGGGAAACCUCACCAGGCCCAGACACCGGAAGGAUUGACAGAUUGAUAGCUCUUUCUUGAUUCGGUGGGUGGUGGUGCAUGGCCCGUUCUUAGUUGGUGGAGCGAUUUGUCUGGUUAAUUCCGAUAACGAACGAGACUCUAGCCUGCUAAAUAGGCGUACCUUAUGGUAUCGCGAAGGCCCCCGGCUUCGGCCGGUGGGUUUUUACUACCAACGUACAAACAAAUUUUCUUAGAGGGACAGGCGG
RNAcentral lists this ribosomal RNA (820 nucleotides) under uncultured eukaryote. RNAcentral describes it as "SSU rRNA". It matches the Rfam family "Eukaryotic small subunit ribosomal RNA", at positions 629 to 1426 of the family's 1831-position model. The record is from RNAcentral.